Molecule: long non-coding RNA, 406 nt
Filed under: Oncorhynchus kisutch (coho salmon)
Lineage: Eukaryota; Metazoa; Chordata; Actinopteri; Salmoniformes; Salmonidae
Description: lncRNA (ENSOKIG00005002374.1)
Source: RNAcentral
CAAUCAGAAACACCUUUUUAUAUCUAGAUCUUGUGGCCAUGCAUGGAAGCCUUUCAAAAAUGCCCUCUGAGUUGGUUAAUGAUUGCUGUUCAUUGAGCUGAUAACUAUACUUCCAACAGCGAAAAUAUCUACCACACAUUGACGCCAAUCACAUACUUUUUAGUAAGUCGUCUGUGUCUCAAGUACAUUCAAAGGAAACAGAACAUGUCAGAGGUGGAGGAACUGAAGGACCAGUAACGACGGCUCGGCUUUGCAGAGAGACGCAGUAAGUACAGAAAGUUAUUGGAGAUGAUUAAUGUGUUCUCACUUUAUGGUGUCUUGUGGGUAACAGGGAUGCUGAGGCUGUGAUUGGUUGGAUGUAUUCAAAACCUAGAAGUAAUGAAUUCAAAUGAAUUCAAAUGUGAUU